Molecule: unclassified non-coding RNA, 240 nt
Filed under: soil metagenome
Description: partial contains 5.8S ribosomal RNA, internal transcribed spacer 2, and large subunit ribosomal RNA
Source: RNAcentral
AACGCACGAGACCUGCGGACCUGCGGAGGGAUCAGUGCGAGAGAUGGUUUGGUUUGUUUGGUGGUGGGAUGGGGGAUGGUUUGGUUGGAUUCUUGGUUGAAAGAUCAAGAUUGAAAGAUCAUGAAAGAUCAAACUCUUGAACCCACCCUCAUUGCCAAACACCACAUUUGCGCUUGGUAUUGUUUGUCAGAUUUAAAUGAGAAAAAGAAUAGAAAACUUUCAACAAUGGAUCUCUAGAUC